Molecule: unclassified non-coding RNA, 148 nt
Organism: Pongo abelii (Sumatran orangutan)
Lineage: Eukaryota; Metazoa; Chordata; Mammalia; Primates; Hominidae
Rfam family: Metazoan signal recognition particle RNA
About the family: The signal recognition particle (SRP) is a universally conserved ribonucleoprotein. It is involved in the co-translational targeting of proteins to membranes.
Source: Ensembl
ACCGGGCAUGGUGGUGCAUGCCUGUAAUCCCAGCUACUCAGGAGGCUGAGGCAGGAGAAUCACUUGAACCCAGGAGGUGGAGGUUGCAGUGAGCCGAGAUUGCGCCACUGCACUCCAGCCUGGGUGAUAGAGUGAGACUCUGUCUUAA